Phragmites australis (common reed) is the source of this 138-nucleotide small nucleolar RNA. RefSeq annotates it as small nucleolar RNA Z247. The transcript has a single exon. The record is from RefSeq and is a predicted model, not a curated record. NCBI's taxonomy places the organism in Eukaryota, Viridiplantae, Streptophyta, Magnoliopsida, Poales, Poaceae.
CCCUUGGAUGAGAAAGCGAUGGUUUUGUAAAUUCUCACUGGCCUCGACAUUGAAUUCAAUCCAAUUGUUUCGGCCAUAGUUGUAAGAAUUGAACCUAUUAUAGUGAAUGAGUUAUGCGCUCAACUGUAAGCUUCAAAA